RNAcentral lists this ribosomal RNA (950 nucleotides) under uncultured archaeon. Its description in RNAcentral is "bacterial SSU rRNA". It matches the Rfam family "Archaeal small subunit ribosomal RNA", at positions 1 to 940 of the family's 1478-position model. The record is from RNAcentral.
UUCCGGUUGAUCCCGCCGGACCCGACUGCUAUUUGGGUGAGGAUAAGCCAUGCGAGUUGAAUGGGAAACCUAAAAAUCCCAUGGCAAACUGCUCAGUAACACAUGAUCAACUUACCCUAUAGAGGAAAAUAACCUCGGGAAACUGAGGAUAGUGUUCCAUAGUUGAAUCGGCUUGGAAAAGUUUUUCAAUAAAAGGGAUAAGGAAAAUGGUUCUUAUCUGCUAUAGGAUAGGAUCGUGCUCGAUUAUGGGUGUUGGUGAGGUAAAGGCUCACCAAGCCGAUAAUCGAUAGGGGCCGUGAGAGCGGGAGCCCCGAGAUGGGUACUGAGACAACGACCCAGGCCUUACGAGGCGCAGCAGGCGCGAAACCUCCGCAAUACACGAAAGUGUGACGGGGUUACCCAAAGUGUUCUAUUUAGAACUGUGGUAGGUGAGUAAUGUCCCCUACUAGAAAGGAGAGGGCAAGGCUGGUGCCAGCCGCCGCGGUAAAACCAGCUCUUCAAGUGGUCGGGAUAAUUAUUGGGCUUAAAGUGUCCGUAGCCGGUUUAGUAAGUUCCUGGUAAAAUCGGGUAGCUUAACUAUCUAUAUGCUAGGAAUACUGCUAUACUAGAGGGCGGGAGAGGUCUGAGGUACUACAGGGGUAGGGGUGAAAUCUUAUAAUCCUUGUAGGACCACCAGUGGCGAAGGCGUCAGACUGGAACGCGCCUGACGGUGAGGGACGAAAGCCAGGGGAGCGAACCGGAUUAGAUACCCGGAUAGUCCUGGCCGUAAACGAUGCAUACUAGGUGAUGGCACGGCCAUGAGCCGUGUCAGUACCGUAGGGAAACCGUUAAGUGUGCCGCCUGGGAAGUACGGUCGCAAGGCUAAAACUUAAAGGAAUUGGCGGGGGAGCACCACAAGGGGUGAAGCCUGCGGUUCAAUUGAUUCAACGCCGGAAAUCACUAGUGCGGCC